RNAcentral lists this ribosomal RNA (261 nucleotides) under uncultured bacterium. Its description in RNAcentral is "partial 16S ribosomal RNA". It matches the Rfam family "Bacterial small subunit ribosomal RNA", at positions 526 to 779 of the family's 1533-position model. The record is from RNAcentral.
CGUAGGUGGCAAAGCGUUGUCCGGAUUUAUUGGGCGGUAAAAGACGAGCGCAGGCGGUUCCUUAAGUCUGAUGUGAAAGCCCCCGGCCUCAACCGGGGGAGGGUCAUUGGAAAACUGGGGAACUUGAGUGCAGAAGAGGAGAGUGGAAUUCCAUGUGUAGCGGUGAAAUGCGUAGAUAUAUGGAGGAACACCAGUGGCGAAGGCGACUCUCUGGUCUGUAACUGACGCUGAGGCUCGAAAGCGUGGGUAGCAAACAGGAUU